This 252-nucleotide ribosomal RNA is filed under the name uncultured bacterium. RNAcentral's name for it is "partial 16S ribosomal RNA". It matches the Rfam family "Bacterial small subunit ribosomal RNA", at positions 524 to 776 of the family's 1533-position model. The record is from RNAcentral.
UACGUAAGGACCGAGCGUUGUCCGGAAUCAUUGGGCGUAAAGGGUACGUAGGCGGUUAGAAAAGUUAGAAGUGAAAGGCUAUAGCUCAACUAUAGUAAGCUUUUAAAACUGUUUAACUUGAGAGAUGGAAGGGAAAGUGGAAUUUCUAGUGUAGCGGUGAAAUGCGUAGAUAUUAGGAAGAAUACCGGUGGCGAAAGCGACUUUCCAGCCUUUUACUGACGCUGAGGUACGAAAGCGUGGGUAGCAAACAGG